Molecule: transfer RNA, 72 nt
Filed under: Papillibacter sp.
Lineage: Bacteria; Bacillati; Bacillota; Clostridia; Eubacteriales; Oscillospiraceae
Description: tRNA-Gln
Rfam family: tRNA
About the family: Transfer RNA (tRNA) molecules are approximately 80 nucleotides in length.
Source: RNAcentral
UGGGAUGUCGCCAAGCGGUAAGGCACCAGACUUUGACUCUGGCAUUCGCAGGUUCGAUCCCUGCCAUCCCAG